AACGCACAUUGCGCUCCCUGGUAUUCCGGAGAGCAUGCCCGUUUCAGAAUCAAUAUUAAAACUCACCCCCCUUGGGAGGGUAGAGAUGGAUUUUUGCGUUUUGCAAUUCUCCGAAAGUCAUUGGUUGUGCAUCAAUUUAUGUGUCAGUUGAUUGUCCAAGUGCAGCAGAGCCAUCUAAUUCACUUGGCAAGUCUUUCGGAUGCUUUUGAUGUGGGACCUCUUUACUAUAUAGCGGGGCUUCAAUUCGGCAUGACUUGAAGUACCCAAAACACUUGAUCUGAAAUCGGGCAAGAAAACCCGCUGAACUUAA
Molecule: unclassified non-coding RNA, 310 nt
Filed under: uncultured Spizellomycetales
Lineage: Eukaryota; Fungi; Chytridiomycota; Chytridiomycetes; Spizellomycetales
Description: sequence contains 5.8S rRNA gene, ITS2, 28S rRNA gene
Source: RNAcentral